CAUGGCAGGAUCCCAUCCCUCACCUGCUUUGUGGCAUCAACAAGUCACUAUCAGCAAGGGUCUCUCUGGCCAGAUUGGGCCCUGGCUGCAGAGGGACACAGGCUUUACAAGUCUGCACGAAGGAAUGCUGGCUGUGAGGGUAACUGAAGUGUGGCAGAAGAAGGAGAGAUGGGAAGAUGGCAGCCAUGUCCCCAGAACUCAUUUUGAGUUGUUGGCUGGAAAGGAACUUCAUCUGUGUUUCGUCGCUAUUCCUUGAGGCUUAGCGCAUAGACUCCUCUGGCUCAGGGAAGCUUUGGCUCUUUCCUCUAAGGAGGCUCCCUGUGAAGAGGGUGAUGCUGUUAUUUCCACCCCGAGUGCUUGGCCCCACGAUUUGGCUCUGGGCUCUGUAACCCAUGGCAACAAGAGAAGGGAAGCAGAUAUACAGCGCUGGAAGUUCUCGGCUGCUGGCUGCUGGGCUCCUGGCACUGAGACGGAAAGAUCCCGAGGUUUGUCAGUGCCG
This is a long non-coding RNA of Chinchilla lanigera (long-tailed chinchilla), 499 nucleotides long. RefSeq lists it as uncharacterized. The record is from RefSeq and is a predicted model, not a curated record. NCBI's taxonomy places the organism in Eukaryota, Metazoa, Chordata, Mammalia, Rodentia, Chinchillidae. The transcript is spliced from 3 exons.